GACGAACGCUGGCGGCGUGCCUAACACAUGCAAGUCGAACGGAAAGGCCCUGCUUUUGUGCGGUGCUCGAGUGGCGAACGGGUGAGUAACACGUGUGUAACCGGCCCUUGAUUUUGGGAUAACUUCAGGAAACUGGGGCUAAUACCGUAUAGCAGCUCCUGCUGCAGGGUGGGCGUGGGAAAGUCUCGGCGGUCGGGGUUGGAUGCGCGGCUAACCAGCUUGUUGGUGGGGGAGUGGCUUACCAAGGCUUUGACGGGUAGCCGGCCUGUGAGGGUGACCGGCCACAUGGGGCCUGAGGUAGGGACCAGACUCCUACGGGGGACAACGGGGGGGAAUAUGGCACAAUGGGCGGAAGCCUGAUGCAGAAACGCCGGGUGCGGGAUGACGGCCUUCGGGUUGUAAACCGCUUUCGCCUGUGACGAAGCGUGAGUGACGGUAAUGGGUAAAGAAGCACCGGCUAACUACGUG
RNAcentral lists this ribosomal RNA (468 nucleotides) under uncultured bacterium. Its description in RNAcentral is "partial 16S ribosomal RNA". It matches the Rfam family "Bacterial small subunit ribosomal RNA", at positions 28 to 507 of the family's 1533-position model. The record is from RNAcentral.